Long non-coding RNA from Podarcis muralis (Common wall lizard), 2085 nucleotides. RefSeq lists it as uncharacterized. The record is from RefSeq and is a predicted model, not a curated record. NCBI's taxonomy places the organism in Eukaryota, Metazoa, Chordata, Lepidosauria, Squamata, Lacertidae.
GUUAACCCCCUGACAACUAUCAGGAUCUGUUCAUUGUAAAGUAUGCCUGCCUCUACUCCAGUCUAAUAAAAUUCAGAAUCAAAAAGGGCUUAUAUAUUCUUCAGACUGCUGCUUAGCAAGAACUGUCUAUAUAUGACAUCAGUAUCUGUGUAUGUUUUGAGAUAUCAGUUUCUCUGUACUUGGAAGACAUACCUAUUUUCUCUAAUUGCCAAAGGCAAAGGGGAGGUGCACUAAAGAAUAAAGAAGGUUAUUGUGACAGAUGAAACAUAAUUCACAAUGAAUACUCUUUUCAUCCAGACUUAAAUAGAAGAGGAUUACUCCAAGGAGAAUUUUAGAAGAGACAGUAUACUUUGAUUCCAAUAAUAUAAGGACAGGCCACAAACUGGAAAGGCACUGUUAACCUAAAUAGGAUUUUGCUGAAGAUUUUGGAUUUCUCCGUACUGGAAGAAGUGCUAACUUGAAGAAAGUCUGAAGAGAAACAGUCAAUGCAAAGCAAUAUGAGCUGGGAUUUUCUGGAGUGGAUAAUGAUGAAUGUUUGUCUUAUAUUUCUUCUUCAUUUGACAGAACCUUAAUGAAAUGAGAUCACGCUAUUUCUUCAGUAAAUUUGUUCUGUGAAACCCUUUCUCAUAGAAUACGCAAGGAUGAAAAGAAAUAGUGAAAUGCAAGCUAUUUUAUCAUGUUGAGUACAGAGCAAGAGGCGUCAACUCAAAAGACAAAUAAGCUGAAAACAAUUGUUUCAUACAAAAUGUCCAUCUGUGUCAAUUUCAGAGGUACGUGUUAAAGAAAAAGAACUGAGUACAGCCAUUUUUAUUUCAUUUUGAAUUUUAGUCAUUAUAUGCUUCACUGAACCCUUAUUAGAAUAUUUACUUUAAAUAUUUAGCUGCCAUGAAGAUUCUAAAAUAGAAGGUUCCAAUUUAAAUCUUAAGAUAUUAUCUUUUAGAAAACUGUGACUACACUAUUCAUUUUUAUCAAGUUAUGUUUAAUGAAACAAAACAUUAAAAGCUGCAAUCUUAGUAGCAAAUCACUGCAUCUGAAUAAAGUGCUUCACAAAACAGAAUGUUAUACUAACCAUACAAAUUAAUAUUACAUAGUAAAAUUUGAUGCCACUAUAAUCUUAGCUAGGUUGCAUAAGAGUAUUGUAGAUCAACAUUUCAUUUUUGUAAAAAAAAUACUGUAGUCUACAAAACAAUAUGAUUUUAAAUACUACAUUGUUGUAUAGUAGCCCUGCAUGCUAAUAACAAUUCAGAAUGCAUAUUUUCUGCAAUUAAUUGGCUAUGUUAGUAAAUAUGAAACAAAUGUUUAGUUCAUUGUUUGAAGUGUGAACAUUUUUGUUUAAAGACUGUUUGCAUUAUUUCCCGUGACCCUUUGUUGCUGUAUGGUUAUUACAAAUUCAGCAGAGCAAUUUAAACAUCUUUAAUUAAAACUAUUUUGAUUCGAUGAGGCUAGGAGCCGCACUCUCCAUCUUUUUUUAAAGAAGACUUUGAUUUUAUAAGACAAGCUGGAGAGGAGUCAAAUCUGCCACAUGCUGUGUGAAAAAAUGCCACCCUGGUGUGAACAAAGGGUUUAGAAUGGAGUCAAGAAGUGUGCAAGCUCAAUGUGUAAGCUUUUCCUGUGAAUUGUUCUGCCACAACCUGCAGGAUAUCAAGUGGGCCGGGAAGAAUAGGCAGCUCUUAGAAGCUACAACAGAGAAACACUGGCAAUCCAAAGUGUGUGAGAGCCUCUUUUGUUUUGCUUCAUUACGGCAAACUGUUUUACCCAAACAGAAACUAAAUUCAAGACCAAAAAAAGGAAAGGAAAAAGUCUGAGACUGGCUGAAGAACCAGUGGUAUGUGCCUUUUUAUCUUCUCACAGUCCGGAACAAGGUGAUGGAAUUUACAAAUCAGAUAAUUCAUGGCAUGGGCCUCUCAACUCUCCGUCCAAAAUAUAAGAAUAACUUGUGCUGCCCACCAAAAGAAAGAAAGCUCUGUGACCUCUUCCUAAGCUAACUGCUGUGAGAUGGAGAAAAACAUUAAACCUUUCUAGCUUUAUACAUUUCCUUCAUGAUGGGUGAUGUUGAAUUGAAAAUAAAAUUCAGUUUUUUCUUAA